UAGGGAAUCUUCGGCAAUGGACGAAAGUCUGACCGAGCAACGCCGCGUGAGUGAAGAAGGUUUUCGGAUCGUAAAACUCUGUUGUUAGAGAAGAACAAGGACGUUAGUAACUGAACGUCCCCUGACGGUAUCUAACCAGAAAGCCACGGCUAACUACGUGCCAGCAGCCGCGGUAAUACGUAGGUGGCAAGCGUUGUCCGGAUUUAUUGGGCGUAAAGCGAGCGCAGGCGGUUUCUUAAGUCUGAUGUGAAAGCCCCCGGCUCAACCGGGGAGGGUCAGUGGAAACUGGGAGACUUGAGUGCAGAAGGGGAGGGUGGAAUUCCAUGUGUAGCGGUGAAAUGCGUAGAUAUAUGGAGGAACACCAGUGGCGAAGGCGGCUCUCUGGUCUGUAACUGACGAUGAGGCUCGAAAGCGUGGGGAGCAAACAGG
This 429-nucleotide ribosomal RNA is filed under the name Gemmatimonadota bacterium. Its description in RNAcentral is "Gemmatimonadetes bacterium partial 16S ribosomal RNA". It matches the Rfam family "Bacterial small subunit ribosomal RNA", at positions 355 to 776 of the family's 1533-position model. The record is from RNAcentral. Lineage: Bacteria; Pseudomonadati; Gemmatimonadota.